RNAcentral lists this long non-coding RNA (242 nucleotides) under Phoenix dactylifera (date palm). RNAcentral's name for it is "long non-coding RNA (PDAC_LNC008151)". Lineage: Eukaryota; Viridiplantae; Streptophyta; Magnoliopsida; Arecales; Arecaceae. The record is from RNAcentral.
GUGGUGGUGCGAGGCUUGCUUGCAGGUUUCCCGGCGGAGGGCGGAGCGCAACCAAAGCAAUUCAAAGGGAACCCCGUUCACACCGCUGUGCCAAUCGUUCUCGGUUUGGACCUCCAGCAACAGUUGGCGCUAGAGGAAGGGAACGGAUCUCAGAGCGAUCGUAAUGGCACGGCGAGGUGGUCGUGGAGCUUCCAAUGCUUCCGGUCGCGGGGCCUCUCGCGCCUCUGGCCGGGAGGCCGCUG